AUUGAACGCUGGCGGCAGGCCUAACACAUGCAAGUCGAGCGGGGGGCCGGACGGGGGCGUAAUGGCUAGGAAUCGGAAUGGGCGUGGGGGAGAAGGUUAAGAAACGGGAGCUGAUACCGAAUCCUAUCAGCAGAAGCUAGGUCGGAUUCGCUAGUUGGUGGGGUAAAGGCCUACCAAGGCGACGGUCCGUAACUGUACUGAGAGGUGGAGCAGUCACCCUGGAACUGAGACACGGUCCAGACUCCUACGGGUGGCAGCAGUGGGGAAUAUUGGACAAUGGGCGAAAGCCUGAUUCAGCCAUGCCGCGUGUGUGAAGAUGGUCUUCGGAUUGUAAAGCACUUUCAGUUGGGAGGCGUUACCAGCAGAAUAAGCACCGGCUAACUUCGUGCCAGCAGCCGCGGUAAUUC
Molecule: ribosomal RNA, 407 nt
Filed under: uncultured bacterium
Lineage: Bacteria
Description: partial 16S ribosomal RNA
Rfam family: Bacterial small subunit ribosomal RNA
Source: RNAcentral